GACGAACGCUGGCGGCGUGCUUAACACAUGCAAGUCGAACGGAAAGGCCCUGCUUGCAGGGUGCUCGAGUGGCGAACGGGUGAGUAACACGUGGGUGAUCUGCCCCUUACUUUGGGAUAAGCCUGGGAAACUGGGUCUAAUACUGGAUAGGACCAUGCUGUAGGUGGUGUGGUGGAAAGAUUAGUUUCGGUAAGGGAUGAGCUCGCGGCCUAUCAGCUUGUUGGUGGGGUAAUGGCCUACCAAGGCGUCGACGGGUAGCCGGCCUGAGAGGGUGGACGGCCACAUUGAGACUGAGAUACGGCCCAGACUCCUACGGGAGGCAGCAGUGGGGAAGAUUGCACAAUGGGCGCAAGCCUGAUGCAGCGACGCCGCGUGGGGGAUGACGGCCUUCGGGUUGUAAACUCCUUUCAGCCAUGACGAAGCCCUUGUGGUGACGGUAGUGGAAGAAGAAGCACCGGCUAACUACGUG
This 469-nucleotide ribosomal RNA is filed under the name uncultured bacterium. RNAcentral describes it as "partial 16S ribosomal RNA". It matches the Rfam family "Bacterial small subunit ribosomal RNA", at positions 28 to 507 of the family's 1533-position model. The record is from RNAcentral.